UGGGGAAUAUUGCACAAUGGGCGCAAGCCUGAUGCAGCCAUGCCGCGUGUGUGAAGAAGGCCUUCGGGUUGUAAAGCACUUUCAGCGGGGAGGAAGGCGAUAAGGUUAAUAACCUUGUCGAUUGACGUUACCCGCAGAAGAAGCACCGGCUAACUCCGUGCCAGCAGCCGCGGUAAUACGGAGGGUGCAAGCGUUAAUCGGAAUUACUGGGCGUAAAGCGCACGCAGGCGGUCUGUCAAGUCGGAUGUGAAAUCCUCGGGCUCAACCUGGGAACUGCAUCUGAUACUGGCAAGCUUGAGUCUCGUAGAGGGGGGUAGAAUUCCAGGUGUAGCGGUGAAAUGCGUAGAGAUCUGGAGGAAUACCGGUGGCGAAGGCGGCCCCCUGGACGAAGACUGACGCUCAGGUGCGAAAGCGUGGGGAGCAAACAGG
Molecule: ribosomal RNA, 429 nt
Filed under: Chloroflexota bacterium
Lineage: Bacteria; Bacillati; Chloroflexota
Description: Chloroflexi bacterium partial 16S ribosomal RNA
Rfam family: Bacterial small subunit ribosomal RNA
Source: RNAcentral